Molecule: ribosomal RNA, 259 nt
Filed under: uncultured bacterium
Lineage: Bacteria
Description: partial 16S ribosomal RNA
Rfam family: Bacterial small subunit ribosomal RNA
Source: RNAcentral
UAACGUAGGCGCAAGGCGUAAUCCGGUAAUUCGAAUUGGUGCGUAAAGAGCUCGUAGGCGGUUUGUCGCGUCUGCCGUGAAAGUCCGGGGCUCAACUCCGGAUCUGCGGUGGGUACGGGCAGACUAGAGUGAUGUAGGGGAGACUGGAAUUCCUGGUGUAGCGGUGAAAUGCGCAGAUAUCAGGAGGAACACCGAUGGCGAAGGCAGGUCUCUGGGCAUUAACUGACGCUGAGGAGCGAAAGCAUGGGGAGCGAACAGG